RNAcentral lists this ribosomal RNA (236 nucleotides) under uncultured bacterium. Its description in RNAcentral is "partial 16S ribosomal RNA". It matches the Rfam family "Bacterial small subunit ribosomal RNA", at positions 118 to 353 of the family's 1533-position model. The record is from RNAcentral.
UGAGCAAUCUGCCCUUCUCAUCGGAAUAAGCGUUGGAAACGACGUCUAAUGCCGAAUACGACCUCCUUUCGCAUGAUCGGAGGUGGAAAGCUCCGGCGGAGAAGGAUGAGCUCGCGGCCCAUCAGCUAGUUGGUGUGGGUAAUGGCCCACCAAGGCGACGACGGGUAGCCGGCCUGAGAGGGUGACCGGCCACACUGGGACUGAGACACGGCCCAGACCUCCUACGGGAGGNAGCG